This 48-nucleotide non-coding RNA is filed under the name unclassified sequences. Its description in RNAcentral is "chromate-resist RNA". It matches the Rfam family "chrB-b RNA". The record is from RNAcentral.
CGGGGAUCGCAGGCUCCCCAUCAGACGGCCUCACCGUCCAAGCACUGC